Molecule: ribosomal RNA, 496 nt
Filed under: uncultured bacterium
Lineage: Bacteria
Description: partial 16S ribosomal RNA
Rfam family: Bacterial small subunit ribosomal RNA
Source: RNAcentral
AUGAACGCUGGCGGCGUGCCUAAUACAUGCAAGUCGAGCGAACGGACGAGAAGCUUGCUUCUCUGAUGUUAGCGGCGGACGGGUGAGUAACACGUGGAUAACCUACCUAUAAGACUGGGAUAACUUCGGGAAACCGGAGCUAAUACCGGAUAAUAUUUUGAACCGCAUAGUUCAAAAGUGAAAGACGGUCUUGCUGUCACUUAUAGAUGGAUCCGCGCUGCAUUAGCUAGUUGGUAAGGUAACGGCUUACCAAGGCAACGAUGCAUAGCCGACCUGAGAGGGUGAUCGGCCACACUGGAACUGAGACACGGUCCAGACUCCUACGGGAGGCAGCAGUAGGGAAUCUUCCGCAAUGGGCGAAAGCCUGACGGAGCAACGCCGCGUGAGUGAUGAAGGUCUUCGGAUCGUAAAACUCUGUUAUUAGGGAAGAACAUAUGUGUAAGUAACUGUGCACAUCUUGACGGUACCUAAUCAGAAAGCCACGGCUAACUACGUG